RNAcentral lists this ribosomal RNA (253 nucleotides) under uncultured bacterium. Its description in RNAcentral is "partial 16S ribosomal RNA". It matches the Rfam family "Bacterial small subunit ribosomal RNA", at positions 524 to 776 of the family's 1533-position model. The record is from RNAcentral.
UACGUAGGGUGCAAGCGUUGUCCGGAAUUACUGGGCGUAAAGGGCUCGUAGGCGGCCAACUAAGUCGGACGUGAAAUCCCCCGGCUUAACCUGGGAACUGCGUCUGAUACUGGAAGGCUUGAGUAUGGGAGAGGGAUGUAGAAUUCCAGGUGUAGCGGUGAAAUGCGUAGAUAUCUGGAGGAAUACCGGUGGCGAAGGCGGCAUCCUGGACCAUUACUGACGCUGAGGCGCGAAAGCUAGGGGAGCAAACGGG